GACGAAGGUGGCUAGCGUUGUUCGGAAUCACUGGGCUUAAAGCGCACGUAGGCGGCCCGUUAAGCACCUUGUGAAAUCCCUCGGCUCAACCGAGGAAUGGCUGGGUGUACUGGCGGGCUUGAGGCAAGUAGGGGCGCGUGGAACUCUUGGUGGAGCGGUGAAAUGCGUAGAUAUCAAGAGGAACGCCGGAGGCGAAAGCGACGCGCUGGGCUUGUCCUGACGCUGAGGUGCGAAAGCCAGGGGAG
RNAcentral lists this ribosomal RNA (245 nucleotides) under uncultured bacterium. RNAcentral describes it as "partial 16S ribosomal RNA". It matches the Rfam family "Bacterial small subunit ribosomal RNA", at positions 524 to 768 of the family's 1533-position model. The record is from RNAcentral.